Molecule: long non-coding RNA, 125 nt
Organism: Dendroctonus ponderosae (mountain pine beetle)
Lineage: Eukaryota; Metazoa; Arthropoda; Insecta; Coleoptera; Curculionidae
Exons: 3
Source: RefSeq, a predicted model, not a curated record
UAUAAUGAAAAUUGUUAUAAGAAACGAUUUAUAGAGGGUAGGUCAUUGGACUUAACUUCUGAUGACAAUGUUAAAGCCAAACCAUUUACUAAAUGUUAUAGUAACAGAUUAUAAAUAAAUUAUAU